Molecule: ribosomal RNA, 390 nt
Filed under: uncultured bacterium
Lineage: Bacteria
Description: bacterial SSU rRNA
Rfam family: Bacterial small subunit ribosomal RNA
Source: RNAcentral
GACGAACGCUGGCGGCGUGCUUAACACAUGCAAGUCGAGCGGUAAGGCCCUUUCGGGGGUACACGAGCGGCGAACGGGUGAGUAACACGUGGGUGACCUGCCCUCAGCUCUGGGAUAAGCCUGGGAAACCGGGUCUAAUACUGGAUAUGACUCCAUGACGCAUGUUGUGGGGUGGAAAGCCUUGUGCGGCUGAGGAUGGGCCCGCGGCCUAUCAGCUUGUUGGUGGGGUGANGGCCUACCAAGGCGACGACGGGUAGCCGGCCUGAGAGGGCGACCGGCCACACUGGGACUGAGACACGGCCCAGACUCCUACGGGAGGCAGCAGUGGGGAAUCUUGCGCAAUGGGCGAAGCCUGACGCAGCGACGCCGCGUGAGGGAUGACGGCCUCGG